UCCCCGCCCGAAAUUCGCUAGUCGCUCUAGUGAACUUUGGGCGGGGCAGUUGUCCGUGACACUUGUAACACGGACCAGGGGUUGCGUUCGUUACCCCAAUUAAGGGAACGCCUCACGGCACGAACUGACGACAACCAUGCAGCACCUGUCCCGACGUCUCUUGUGAAGAAAACACUCCUUUCAGAAUGUCGUCGUCGGAAUUUCAAACCCUGGUAAGGUUCCUCGCUUAGUGUCGAAUUAAACCUCAUGUUCCACCGCUUGUGCGAGUCCCCGUCUAUUCCUUUGAGUUUUAAGCUUGCGCUCGUACUUCCCAGGCGGCCUGCUUAACGCGUUAGCUCCGGCACUCCGAGGGUCGAUACUCGAAACACCAAGCAGGCAUCGUUUAGGGCGUGGACUA
RNAcentral lists this unclassified non-coding RNA (397 nucleotides) under uncultured bacterium. RNAcentral's name for it is "contains 16S-23S intergenic spacer region". The record is from RNAcentral.